RNAcentral lists this ribosomal RNA (434 nucleotides) under uncultured Oscillospiraceae bacterium. RNAcentral describes it as "bacterial SSU rRNA". It matches the Rfam family "Bacterial small subunit ribosomal RNA", at positions 341 to 792 of the family's 1533-position model. Lineage: Bacteria; Bacillati; Bacillota; Clostridia; Eubacteriales; Oscillospiraceae. The record is from RNAcentral.
ACGGAAGGCAGCAGUGGGGAAUAUUGGACAAUGGGGGGAACCCUGAUCCAGCGACGCCGCGUGAGUGAAGAAGUAUUUCGGUAUGUAAAGCUCUUUAAGCAGGGAAGAAAAUGACGGUACCUGCAGAAUAAGCCCCGGCUAACUACGUGCCAGCAGCCGCGGUAAUACGUAGGGGGCAAGCGUUAUCCGGAUUUACUGGGUGUAAAGGGCGUGUAGCCGGGUCGGCAAGUCAGAUGUGAAAUCCAUGGGCUUAACUCAUGAACUGCAUUUGAAACUGUUGAUCUUGAGUAUCGGAGAGGCAAUCGGAAUUCCUAGUGUAGCGGUGAAAUGCGUAGAUAUUAGGAGGAACACCAGUGGCGAAGGCGGAUUGCUGGACGACAACUGACGGUGAGGCGCGAAAGCGUGGGGAGCAAACAGGAUUAGAUACCCUGGUA